CUUGGAUGUGUCAACUCCUAAAAUGCAUCUCAAAGAUUAUGAACACUGGCUCCAGGUUUAUGAUCAUAUUCCUUGUGAGACUGGAGUGGACCCUUGUGAGUUUGGCUCUAUGGGAACUCGUAUUCUGUGAUCUCUCCUCCUCUUCGCUGACAAGGAGCUAUCACUUCCUUCCCUGAUGGAGACGGAAUGAAACGCAGAUAAGACUUUGUCAUCCGCAGCAUGUCUCUUCUGACACGGUGUACAGCGGAUGGCUCUUUUGGACUCCAAAAGAUGGUUAAUUGAACGAGACAUUUAAAACUCACUACUGUCAGUCUGUAUUUCCGGUUUCAGUGGAUUGGAAUGAUUUCUUAGCUCUUAUCAUGGGCACAUGUGAAAUGAGUAUGAGUAUGAAGUAUUUUCAUUUUGGAUUGUAAAAACAGUGUCAGAAAUGCUCCUGUAAUGAACUUAUCCGACCCCUUCCCUUCCUCCACCUCUUGCUUCCUGACCUCUGCCUCCCCAGUUAGUUUCCUAAUCUUGUGUUAAGGAAUUGAGCUGGCAGUGCUGCCAAUAAUAGCAGAAAAACACAGGACGGUAACAAUUAAAAUAACAAAUGAGGUACAUUAGAGUGAAAAACAUUCAGAGGAGAGGAAAGUGCAUGCUAAUACAUUCUUACAAGCUCCAGGUAUAACAAUUAAAGGGUAGGUAUUAUGGUAAUUUUCAUAUAUUUCCUAAUUUCCACAAUUUGAAUCUUGGACUUUACUGAAGCACCUUUAUAUUCACAGCUGAAAUAAUUCUUACUUAUCUUAAAUUAGGUCCUGUUACAGCCUCUCAGUUCUUCCUCUGUCUGAACCAUGCUGUUUUAGCUCCCUUCUCCCCCACUUUAAGUUAUCUUUCUCCUAAUUGGCUGCCAUCUAUAAACAGAAGGUUUGGACAUCAUGUGGGUGGAGCUUGUGUGCUUAAAGCCAAAACUGUAUGUCUGAGAUGACCAUAUUAAGAAAUGUCACUCUCAUUAAUAAUAUAUAUAUUAAAAAAAAAAAGGAGAACAAAAAGAAAUAAUUAUUGAAUAUUUAAGCCAUCUUAAGAUGACCACAACCAAUUUAACAGUUAAUUCGAAAGACCGGCAUAGGGAACUCUUGCAUUUUCAAAAAGAAAUCUAAAGCUAACUUGAUCGAUGACUUUAUGGCUACUAAUUUCAGUUCUUACUGAAUGCAGCAUCAUGUUCA
RNAcentral lists this long non-coding RNA (1202 nucleotides) under Oreochromis niloticus (Nile tilapia). RNAcentral's name for it is "lncRNA (ENSONIG00000040880.1)". Lineage: Eukaryota; Metazoa; Chordata; Actinopteri; Cichliformes; Cichlidae. The record is from RNAcentral.